RNAcentral lists this ribosomal RNA (48 nucleotides) under Leptographium galeiforme. RNAcentral describes it as "Grosmannia galeiformis partial 28S ribosomal RNA". Lineage: Eukaryota; Fungi; Ascomycota; Sordariomycetes; Ophiostomatales; Ophiostomataceae. The record is from RNAcentral.
UUGACCUCGGAUCAGGUAGGACUACCCGCUGAACUUAAGCAUAUCAAU